GAUGAACGCUAGCUACAGGCUUAACACAUGCAAGUCGCGGGGCAGCAUGGGGGUUGCUUGCAAUCCCCGAUGGCGACGGGCGCACGGGUGAGUAACGCGUAUCCAACCUGCCCUUCACCACGGGAUAACCCGGCGAAAGUCGGACUAAUACCGUAUGUGGUCCAUUGACGGCAUCCGAUUUGGGCGAAAGGUUUGGCGGUGAGGGCUGGGGAUGCGUCCGAUUAGCUGGACGGCGGGGUGACGGCCCACCGUGGCGACGAUCGGUAGGGGUUCUGAGAGGAAGGUCCCCCACACUGGAACUGAGACACGGUCCAGACUCCUACGGGAGGCAGCAGUGAGGAAUAUUGGUCAAUGGGCGUAAGCCUGAACCAGCCAAGUAGCGUGCAGGAUGACGGCCCUAUGGGUUGUAAACUGCUUUUAUGCGGGGAUAAAGUGGCCCACGUGUGGGUUUUUGCAGGUACCGCAUGAAUAAGGACCGGCUAAUUCCGUG
RNAcentral lists this ribosomal RNA (490 nucleotides) under uncultured bacterium. RNAcentral's name for it is "partial 16S ribosomal RNA". It matches the Rfam family "Bacterial small subunit ribosomal RNA", at positions 28 to 507 of the family's 1533-position model. The record is from RNAcentral.